GCAGCAGCCACCAAUCAAACGUCCACCCUACGUACUAUCCAUGUAUAAGACAACCCCCACUUUUUAGCAUAAUUUUUAAAGAAAAAAUCUGGUCUUAUACAUGGAAAAGUACAGUAUCUUUCUGUCCAGGCUUUCCCUGACGGAUAAGCUUUUAUACUACCAUUUUACUGGGUUUUCUUAUGAGAGACUGCUGGAUAUAACCAUCAAGGACAGAGAUCAUGAAGCUGAAGUGAGAUGGUUGCUACUACCUCAAGGUGACACUUUCCUUCCGAGAGUCGCAUGCUUUCCAAUCAGAUACCUCAAUUGGCACCACCUAGAAUUAUUCCUGAGACCUCCAGUAGUGGCGCCUAGAAGCAGGUGGAAGAUCAUCUCGGUCAUAUACUCUACAAGGGAACAAAUACUGUAGUGUUUAUUGUAUUUAGAAACAGCAGGACCAGGGUUUUUCCUUGAUUCCAACCAGAAGCUGUUCAUAGAUGCGGGUGCCGGUUCAACUUCCUUAUCUUGAAGCUGCUCAGACAGUGCAUCCCCACCUUUCCAGUUAUCAAAUGUGAUGUAUUUUACAUAAACCAGAGAAAUGUGCCUGCAUUUUUUAUUUCCUGUGUACCCCCAAACUUCAUUAUUCUCUAUCAAUUUGCUCUAAUAGACCUUUUUGCGCAUAAGGAGGACUUGGAAAUUUAAGAAAUGAUACUACUAAGACACUUUACCUGUUUGCUACUCUUCCAGUAUGUUUUCUAGUGGACAUGCUUUUGCUUAAUUUGCUAACCCUCUUUUGGCGACUGAAUUGAGAAUUUGUCUUAAAUGCAUGAGCAUUGGUUGCCUGUUAGGCUCAGUGAAAUUUGCGUCCCUUAACUUAUUUUAGACGUGUGUGUGUGUGUGUGUGUGUAAGGAUGUCGUUCCCACCCAUGGGCGUAGCCAACGGGGUGCAGGGGGCAGCUGCUCCCCCCAAGAUCAAGUAAAACAAUAGAAAUACAUAACUGAGCAAUCACUUCAGUUCUGCCCCCCCCAACAAAAGUCCUGCUCCCUCCUAACAAAAAUCCCAUGUUACCACCCAAUGAAAGUCAGUGGCAAGGAUGCUUAUUUUAAGCGACUGGCACAUGGCCAUAGCCAGGAUUGGGGGGGGGCAAGCCUUUUGUUGGGGGGGGAGAACCUCAGUUUGUCAUGUAUUUUUAUUGAUUUUUUAGCUGCCUCUCCCUACCCCCUGGCUACUCCCAUGGACUGGGCCCAGAGCCAGAUUUAGGUUUGGUGAGGCCCUAAACUACUGAAGGUAACGGGGCCCUUUCUAUGUCCAGCUGUCCUUUGUCAACAACAAAUUGUCACUGUUUUUGUGUUGAAUAUAUGCUAUGUGGUAAUUUAUGGACCUAAUAGGUAUCUAAAGGUAUCUAAAGCCAUUGGC
This is a long non-coding RNA of Podarcis raffonei (Aeolian wall lizard), 1393 nucleotides long. RefSeq lists it as uncharacterized. The record is from RefSeq and is a predicted model, not a curated record. The transcript is spliced from 3 exons. Lineage: Eukaryota; Metazoa; Chordata; Lepidosauria; Squamata; Lacertidae.